Molecule: long non-coding RNA, 516 nt
Organism: Oreochromis niloticus (Nile tilapia)
Lineage: Eukaryota; Metazoa; Chordata; Actinopteri; Cichliformes; Cichlidae
Exons: 3
Source: RefSeq, a predicted model, not a curated record
UCCUUUUAUGAAAAGUUUUUCCAGUAUCUUAGAGAACUGGGAAAGGAUCGACACUGGUCUAUAAUUUGUAAAAUGAUACUUUUCACCUGUUUCGUAAAUGGGAAUAACUUUAGCAACUUUCAUUUUUUGUGGAAAACCCCCUUUUUGAAGAGACAAGUUGAAUAUAUAUUUUCAACAGUAAUGGUAUUACAGUAGUCCACUGAAAACAAAUGUAAUGUAAUUACUUUUGAUUGUGUUACAGGCCACACCUGAGCACCAGCUGCAGACACUUGUUGUUCUCAUCAUGGACAGUUACCACGGCGGACAUUUGCAGCUGCAGUAGAAAGCCAUGCCUAUGACUGUGCCAGACCACAUUUUGAACAACACCACGGAAACGUCAGAUUUCACACAGGUGGUUGGAUGUUACACUCCGGAAAUGGAAGGAAGAGGGUUCGACCAACGGCAAGCAGUGGCUGGAGAUGUACUGGUUGUUGUAGAAACGACGCAGGAGGGGCAUGGAUUCCUCCACCUGCAGGA